GCCUUACAGUUACUUAAACUUGUAACCCUCCCAGUAGCUGUGGAGUCUAGUAAACGUGGCUUCUGCCGGGUUCGCCGGUCAGCCCAGGCUGUUGAGGGGCAGGCAUGGGGCCCGUGGGCCAGAGGAGACCUCCAGGCUUCUCUCCCACUCUUCUCUGGCCUGCACCCCCUCUUGGGUAGAGGCUGCACCUCCUGCUUGGGUUCGGCCACCUCCAAAUACUGCAUCGACGGCCCGUGUCUCUGCCUGCGGGGCUGGGCCAGCGCCAGAGACGCAGGCAAAGCGCCAGCCGCCCAGGGGCAGCAGCUGGCGAGUUGAGCCUCGUCUGCAUGAGAAAGCAUCACCUUUGCUUUCGGUUUGAUGCGGCAGUUCUCAGCCAGGCUGGAGGCAGCCUGGAAUCCCAGAUCUCCUACUGACACCUCAGGUCUCCCCCGCGGCUCCGGGGACGUCCCUAACCCCUGAUGCUGCACCACAGGCAGACCUGCCAGAACCUCACCACCACCAAGAUUGCUACCUGGAGAUUCCUGCUUGCCCCAAACCCCAGGGCACCACUUCUGCGUCCCUCAUUCCCACUGCUCCGGAUCCCUGUCUACAGAGCCACUCCUCCCGCCGGUGUGAUCCUGGAGCCCACGGUGGCCCCUGCUUUGAAGAGCCUGUUGGUCCAGUCCUUCCCGCCUUCUGCAGAGCUGUUCUCCUCCUUCUAAAGAAGUCACCUGGGCCCUGGGCCCCGUCUUCCUGGCUCCACAGAGUCCCUGUGGCUGCAGGCACUGCUUCUCUCUCCUGCACCCAAUCCCUCUCCCACUCCACUGCCUCUGGGUGUGCAAAAACACUGAUGUUUCCCAUAUUUUCAAAAUCUCUCCCCUGUAGUUCCCACCUGACUUCUAAUAGGUGGCCAAAGUACAGACAUUAAUGUAUGUUAAGGCACAUAAUUAAUGCAUAUUAAAAGUUAACAAUAAUGAA
This is a long non-coding RNA of Saimiri boliviensis boliviensis (Bolivian squirrel monkey), 957 nucleotides long. RefSeq lists it as uncharacterized. The record is from RefSeq and is a predicted model, not a curated record. Lineage: Eukaryota; Metazoa; Chordata; Mammalia; Primates; Cebidae.